CUACGGGCGGCACCAGUGGGGAAUAUUGGACAAUGGGGGAAACCCUGAUCCAGCAAUGCCGCGUGUGUGAAGAAGGCCUGCGGGUUGUAAAGCACUUUCGGUUGGGAGGACUGCUUCUAGCACUAAUAUUGUUGGAAGUUGACGUUACCUUCAGAAGAAGCACCGGCUAACUCCGUGCCAGCAGCCACGGUAAUACGGAGGGUGCAAGCGUUAAUCGGAAUUACUGGGCGUAAAGCGCGCGUAGGCGGCUAGAUCAGUCGGGUGUGAAAGCCCCGGGCUUAACCUGGGAACUGCAUCCGAUACUGUCUAGCUUGAGUACAGGAGAGGAGAGUGGAAUUCCACAUGUAGCGGUGAUAUGCGUAGAUAUGUGGAGGAACACCAAUGGCGAAGGCAGCUCUCUGGCCUGAUACUGACGCUGAGGUGCGAAAGCGUGGGGAGCAAACAGGAUUAGAUACCCGUGUAGUC
Molecule: ribosomal RNA, 465 nt
Filed under: uncultured bacterium
Lineage: Bacteria
Description: partial 16S ribosomal RNA
Rfam family: Bacterial small subunit ribosomal RNA
Source: RNAcentral